Long non-coding RNA from Vitis riparia (riverbank grape), 548 nucleotides. RefSeq lists it as uncharacterized. The record is from RefSeq and is a predicted model, not a curated record. Lineage: Eukaryota; Viridiplantae; Streptophyta; Magnoliopsida; Vitales; Vitaceae. The transcript is spliced from 4 exons.
GUUUGUGUUGCAAUGAAUCCCAAUAUCUUUUCCCAAGAACUACUUGAAUGGCACCAUGUAAAGGUUCACUUAACUUCAUGAAGUUCAAUAGCAUGAGGGGAGUCGGAAAUAGCCAUAACAAAAGAUGCAUUGUGGCCUUAGAAGAACUCAUAGCAAUGGGUCCUCGUUUGCUUCUUCCUUGGACUUGUAAGCAAAGAAAGCGAAACCCUCCCAUCUUGCCCAGUGCUUAUGAAACCGUGGAUGACCCUUCUCCAUUUCCUCUUGCAUACACCGAGAAAUGCCCUAAGAGGCGCUCCGAUGAUGUCGCUCAAGAAAUUCUGGUUAUGUAAAUCUUCCACAUUGAAAAAUUUCCUGGCACCCCACUCCUGUGUAAAUUUCAUUUAUUUACUAUGGCAUGCUGGAGAGGCCCCAAAUGUAGACAGUAAGGAGGAAGCAGGAAAAUAAAUAGAGAGGACAGGAGAACAGAUCGAAUGGCAAAGAGAGGAAGAUUGAGUUCAUGGAUGGUACCAACUGUCACGAAAGAAGAAGACCCAGCAACUAAUUUUAUC